This 2745-nucleotide ribosomal RNA is filed under the name Shigella sonnei. RNAcentral describes it as "bacterial LSU rRNA". It matches the Rfam family "Bacterial large subunit ribosomal RNA". The record is from RNAcentral. Lineage: Bacteria; Pseudomonadati; Pseudomonadota; Gammaproteobacteria; Enterobacterales; Enterobacteriaceae.
ACUAAGCGUACACGGUGGAUGCCCUGGCAGUCAGAGGCGAUGAAGGACGUGCUAAUCUGCGAUAAGCGUCGGUAAGGUGAUAUGAACCGUUAUAACCGGCGAUUUCCGAAUGGGGAAACCCAGUGUGAUUCGUCACACUAUCAUUAACUGAAUCCAUAGGUUAAUGAGGCGAACCGGGGGAACUGAAACAUCUAAGUACCCCGAGGAAAAGAAAUCAACCGAGAUUCCCCCAGUAGCGGCGAGCGAACGGGGAGNCCAUCCUCCAAGGCUAAAUACUCCUGACUGACCGAUAGUGAACCAGUACCGUGAGGGAAAGGCGAAAAGAACCCCGGCGAGGGGAGUGAAAAAGAACCUGAAACCGUGUACGUACAAGCAGUGGGAGCACGCUUAGGCGUGUGACUGCGUACCUUUUGUAUAAUGGGUCAGCGACUUAUAUUCUGUAGCAAGGUUAACCGAAUAGGGGAGCCGAAGGGAAACCGAGUCUUAACUGGGCGUUAAGUUGCAGGGUAUAGACCCGAAACCCGGUGAUCUAGCCAUGGGCAGGUUGAAGGUUGGGUAACACUAACUGGAGGACCGAACCGACUAAUGUUGAAAAAUUAGCGGAUGACUUGUGGCUGGGGGUGAAAGGCCAAUCAAACCGGGAGAUAGCUGGUUCUCCCCGAAAGCUAUUUAGGUAGCGCCUCGUGAAUUCAUCUCCGGGGGUAGAGCACUGUUUCGGCAAGGGGGUCAUCCCGACUUACCAACCCGAUGCAAACUGCGAAUACCGGAGAAUGUUAUCACGGGAGACACACGGCGGGUGCUAACGUCCGUCGUGAAGAGGGAAACAACCCAGACCGCCAGCUAAGGUCCCAAAGUCAUGGUUAAGUGGGAAACGAUGUGGGAAGGCCCAGACAGCCAGGAUGUUGGCUUAGAAGCAGCCAUCAUUUAAAGAAAGCGUAAUAGCUCACUGGUCGAGUCGGCCUGCGCGGAAGAUGUAACGGGGCUAAACCAUGCACCGAAGCUGCGGCAGCGACGCUUAUGCGUUGUUGGGUAGGGGAGCGUUCUGUAAGCCUGCGAAGGUGUGCUGUGAGGCAUGCUGGAGGUAUCAGAAGUGCGAAUGCUGACAUAAGUAACGAUAAAGCGGGUGAAAAGCCCGCUCGCCGGAAGACCAAGGGUUCCUGUCCAACGUUAAUCGGGGCAGGGUGAGUCGACCCCUAAGGCGAGGCCGAAAGGCGUAGUCGAUGGGAAACAGGUUAAUAUUCCUGUACUUGGUGUUACUGCGAAGGGGGGACGGAGAAGGCUAUGUUGGCCGGGCGACGGUUGUCCCGGUUUAAGCGUGUAGGCUGGUUUUCCAGGCAAAUCCGGAAAAUCAAGGCUGAGGCGUGAUGACGAGGCACUACGGUGCUGAAGCAACAAAUGCCCUGCUUCCAGGAAAAGCCUCUAAGCAUCAGGUAACAUCAAAUCGUACCCCAAACCGACACAGGUGGUCAGGUAGAGAAUACCAAGGCGCUUGAGAGAACUCGGGUGAAGGAACUAGGCAAAAUGGUGCCGUAACUUCGGGAGAAGGCACGCUGAUAUGUAGGUGAAGUCCCUUGCGGAUGGAGCUGAAAUCAGUCGAAGAUACCAGCUGGCUGCAACUGUUUAUUAAAAACACAGCACUGUGCAAACACGAAAGUGGACGUAUACGGUGUGACGCCUGCCCGGUGCCGGAAGGUUAAUUGAUGGGGUCAGCGCAAGCGAAGCUCUUGAUCGAAGCCCCGGUAAACGGCGGCCGUAACUAUAACGGUCCUAAGGUAGCGAAAUUCCUUGUCGGGUAAGUUCCGACCUGCACGAAUGGCGUAAUGAUGGCCAGGCUGUCUCCACCCGAGACUCAGUGAAAUUGAACUCGCUGUGAAGAUGCAGUGUACCCGCGGCAAGACGGAAAGACCCCGUGAACCUUUACUAUAGCUUGACACUGAACAUUGAGCCUUGAUGUGUAGGAUAGGUGGGAGGCUUUGAAGUGUGGACGCCAGUCUGCAUGGAGCCGGCCUUGAAAUACCACCCUUUAAUGUUUGAUGUUCUAACGUGGACCCGUGAUCCGGGUUGCGGACAGUGUCUGGUGGGUAGUUUGACUGGGGCGGUCUCCUCCUAAAGAGUAACGGAGGAGCACGAAGGUUGGCUAAUCCUGGUCGGACAUCAGGAGGUUAGUGCAAUGGCAUAAGCCAGCUUGACUGCGAGCGUGACGGCGCGAGCAGGUGCGAAAGCAGGUCAUAGUGAUCCGGUGGUUCUGAAUGGAAGGGCCAUCGCUCAACGGAUAAAAGGUACUCCGGGGAUAACAGGCUGAUACCGCCCAAGAGUUCAUAUCGACGGCGGUGUUUGGCACCUCGAUGUCGGCUCAUCACAUCCUGGGGCUGAAGUAGGUCCCAAGGGUAUGGCUGUUCGCCAUUUAAAGUGGUACGCGAGCUGGGUUUAGAACGUCGUGAGACAGUUCGGUCCCUAUCUGCCGUGGGCGCUGGAGAACUGAGGGGGGCUGCUCCUAGUACGAGAGGACCGGAGUGGACGCAUCACUGGUGUUCGGGUUGUCAUGCCAAUGGCACUGCCCGGUAGCUAAAUGCGGAAGAGAUAAGUGCUGAAAGCAUCUAAGCACGAAACUUGCCCCGAGAUGAGUUCUCCCUGACCCUUUAAGGGUCCUGAAGGAACGUUGAAGACGACGACGUUGAUAGGCCGGGUGUGUAAGCGCAGCGAUGCGUUGAGCUAACCGGUACUAAUGAACCGUGAGGCUUAACC